Molecule: ribosomal RNA, 433 nt
Filed under: uncultured bacterium
Lineage: Bacteria
Description: partial 16S ribosomal RNA
Rfam family: Bacterial small subunit ribosomal RNA
Source: RNAcentral
AACGAACGCUGGCGGCAUGCCUAACACAUGCAAGUCGAACGAGACCUUCGGGACUAGUGGCUCACGGGUGCGUAACGCGUGGGAACCUGCCCUUAGGUUCGGAAUAACUCUCCGAAAGGGGUGCUAAUACCGGAUAAUGUCUUCGGACCAAAGAUUUAUCGCCUUUGGAUGGGCCCGCGUUGGAUUAGCUAGUUGGUAGGGUAAAAGCCUACCAAGGCGUCGAUCCAUAGCUGGUCUGAGAGGAUGAGCAGCCACACUGGGACGAGGACACGGCGCAGACUACUACGGGAGGCAGCAGUGGGGAAUAUUGGACAACGGGCGAAAGCCUGAUCCAGCAAUGCCGCGUGAGUGAUGAUGGCCUUAGAGUUGUAAAGCUCUUUUACCCGGGAUGAUAAUGACAGUACCGGGAGAAUAAGCACCGGCUAACUCCGUG